This is a long non-coding RNA of Gasterosteus aculeatus aculeatus (three-spined stickleback), 2397 nucleotides long. The record is from Ensembl. NCBI's taxonomy places the organism in Eukaryota, Metazoa, Chordata, Actinopteri, Perciformes, Gasterosteidae.
AUUUUAUAGAGUCUCGCAAAACCAGGAAGCCGUGAGCGAAGCCGUGGCCUGAAGCUCUCUGGGUGAAACAGACUCGUUACUCUACGACCUCGUAAAAUCCUCCUGAUCCACUGCAGUCAGGAGGAGGAACCGACGUCGACACCCCCUCCCCCGGUCAUGUGAUCUUACGGUGCACGUUCUCCUGGUCCCCCUUCAGGCCCUGGAUGAUGCCGGUGUAGGCCUCCAGGCAGCCCUCCCGCAGCUCGUUCAGGUACUUCUUGAACUCCCCCCCGAUGGCCAAAGCAAUGUCUCCGAAGGCCGAGAGGAUCUGAGGCUUAACGGAGCGAUGGACAUUCUCAUUCUGGAGAACAGAGGGGAGGGGGGGGGUUAGCGUCCAGGGGGAGGCAUGGGCUCAGGUGUCUACGGUUACUAAGGAGCUACAAGAGGUCUCAGAUAAACGUGGUUGUUGUGUCAUCACAGUCAGCGUGGUGCAUGUUUAUCAUCAUGGACCAAGAAACUCAUUAAUACACAAGACCCCUCCCCCCCCCCCCCCCCUCCUCCUCCUCACCCCGAGGUUCUCCAGCAGCAGCUGCAUCAUCUCGUCACAGUAAGGCAGGAUGUUGGACAUCAGAGCUCUGCACAGGUCACACACCAAACCCACGGCUGCCAGACACACCUGUAACAACAUCAUCAUCAUGUAGCCCCCCGACUCAAUCUCUCAAACUACAGAAUGUGACGUGUGGAGGUCUCAGAUAAUUGUGGUUGGUUUUGUCAUCACGGUCAGCGUGGUGCAUGUUAUCAUCACGGACCAAUCAGACGCACAGCAGGGGGCUGGUUCCCGGCGGUGGACACUGACCUGAUACUCUGCGUAGUUCUUCAGGCCGAUGCCCAGGAAAGGCUUGAAAGGCGUCCAUGUAUUUCUGGAAGUCGCUGCCCAGAACUGAAACAAACAGACCAACAUUAACAACCCUGGUUUGCAUGGUGAGCGUGUGAGCGCGCGAGCGUGUACCUUCCACCAGAGUGGACACUGCCAUCAGAGCGUCCUCCUGGACCCCCCCGGAGCCGGCGGUGCUCUGAAACAUCCUCAGUAAUGACGCCAUCACCACGUCUGAGAUCUGAAGGGCGUCCUGAUGCUGCACUUUACGCAGCACGUUCUGCAACACACACACACAGGAAGUGACACUAAAGCGUAGACACCGCUGCAGUAAGAGCAUGAUGGGCAGGCCGGCCUCACCUGCAGAGUGGCACACAGCAGCGACUGCAGGUCGUUGAACUGGAUUCUGUCAGACGUGCUCUGGAUGUGAGACUGGGGGGCACAGGAAGUGACAUCGUUACACAGGACGCACAGCAUUCAUCUAUUGAUGGCCACAGGGAGCGAUUGAAUGGAAGGCGUGUGGAGGUCUCAGAUAAUCGUGGUAGGGUUUGUCAUCACAGUCAGCGUGGUGCAUGUUAUCAUCACGGACCAACCCCACGUCACCUUCAGAUACAACAUGGAACCACAGAGCAGACCCUCUUCUUCACCCGCCUCCUACUUAGUAAACUGCAUUUCUACUUGUUGGCCAUAGAUCUCAUUUCUUUAUCUGGACCCGCCAAGGGUCACUUUAAGGAGCCAGCGGAACAUUAACCACGUGAAUCAGAGGUUAGAUCUUCUCACCUCCAUCUGAAGGACGUGCUGUAGCCGCUCCAUAAUGACCAGGGUGGUCUUCUGCACCGCGGGGUAACAGUCCUUAGCGCUGUUCUUCACGAUCUCCAUCAGAGCCUCGUAGGCGGCAGAGCGCAGGUUGUUCUGGUGGCCGUCGGGUCUGUAGGAGGAAGCAUCAUCACCACCAUCAGAGCUACAGCAACACGGUCGACAAAUAUUCACCCAAAGGCCUAAUGAGUAAUAGAUCCAUUAUCUACACUUAUUCCAAGGGGGCAGAUAUGGAUUCAACAUCAGACCGAAUGUGGACCUCUGUACCGGUCUGUGGUCUCCAGGAGCUUCUGUACGAUGAUCUCAAAGGACGAGGACAGACAGUAGGUGCUGGGCUCCUCCUGGUCCUCUGCAGCAUCCGUGGCCUCAUAGGCUGCUUCAGCUAAAGACGAGAAUGCCUGCAGACGGGGGGGGUGGGGGGGGUUGUGUUAACCUCCAACAUGUGUGCGCACUCUCACUGCAAGCACAAGUCUCCCACUGAUUUACGUCACUGUUAAAGGUCACGUGGCCUCACAGCUCACCCAGCAGACGUUGGAAGCCACCCUAGGCUCCGCCCCCAGGCCCUCGAUCAGGCACUGCAGAAGGGGCGCCAGGUACACCUCGUUGAUCGCCGCCUCGGGCAGCAGCUCACAGAUCCUCCCCACCGUCCAGGCCGUGGUGUCUCUGACCACCACGCUGGGGUCCUUCAUCAGCUCGAUCAGGGUGGGCAUCGCCUGGCGACGACCAGG